GAUGAACGCUGGCGGCGUGCCUAAUACAUGCAAGUCGAGCGAACAGACGAUGAGCUUGCUCCUCUGACGUUAGCGGCGGACGGGUGAGUAACACGUGGAUAACCUACCUAUAAUACUGGGAUAACUUCGUGAAACCGGAGCUAAUACCGGAUAAUAUAUUGAACCGCAUGGUUCAAUAGUUAAAGACGGUUUUGCUGUCACUUAUAGAUGGAUCCGCGCCGCAUUAGCUAGUUGGUAAGGUAACGGCUUACCAAGGCGACGAUGCGUAGCCGACCUGAGAGGGUGAUCGGCCACACUGGAACUGAGACACGGUCCAGACUCCUACGGGAGGCAGCAGUAGGGAAUCUUCCGCAAUGGGCGAAAGCCUGACGGAGCAACGCCGCGUGAGUGAUGAAGGUCUUCGGAUCGUAAAACUCUGUUAUUAGGGAAGAACAAAUGUGUAAGUAACUAUGCACGUCUUGACGGUACCUAAUCAGAAAGCCACGGCUAACUACGUG
This 497-nucleotide ribosomal RNA is filed under the name uncultured bacterium. Its description in RNAcentral is "partial 16S ribosomal RNA". It matches the Rfam family "Bacterial small subunit ribosomal RNA", at positions 28 to 507 of the family's 1533-position model. The record is from RNAcentral.